GCGGCCUAUCAGCUUGUUGGUGAGGUAAUGGCUCACCAAGGCGACGACGGGUAGCCGGCCUGAGAGGGCGACCGGCCACACUGGGACUGAGACACGGCCCAGACUCCUACGGGAGGCAGCAGUGGGGAAUAUUGGGCAAUGGAGGAAACUCUGACCCAGCGACGCCGCGUGCGGGAUGAAGGCCUUCGGGUUGUAAACCGCUUUCAGUAGGGAAGAAGCGAAAGUGACGGUACCUACAAAAGAAACACCGGCUAACUAUGUGCCAGCAGCCGCGGUAAUACAUAGGGUGCAAGCGUUGUCCGGAAUUAUUGGGCGUAAAGAGCUCGUAGGUCGUUUGUUACGCCGGAUGUGAAAACCUGAGGCUCAACCUCAGGCCUGCAUUCGAUACGGGCAAACUAGAGUUUGGUAGGGGAGACUGGAAUUCCU
RNAcentral lists this ribosomal RNA (426 nucleotides) under uncultured Actinomycetes bacterium. RNAcentral describes it as "bacterial SSU rRNA". It matches the Rfam family "Bacterial small subunit ribosomal RNA", at positions 233 to 671 of the family's 1533-position model. Lineage: Bacteria; Bacillati; Actinomycetota; Actinomycetes. The record is from RNAcentral.